AUCUUUCUAGUAUGAGCGUUAGUACAAGUGACUUCCAAUCACUUAGUCUUGGUUAAAGCCCAAGGAAAGAUA
This 72-nucleotide transfer RNA is filed under the name Campylomormyrus compressirostris. RNAcentral's name for it is "transfer RNA-Gly". It matches the Rfam family "tRNA". Rfam says of the family: Transfer RNA (tRNA) molecules are approximately 80 nucleotides in length. Lineage: Eukaryota; Metazoa; Chordata; Actinopteri; Osteoglossiformes; Mormyridae. The record is from RNAcentral.